This 263-nucleotide long non-coding RNA is filed under the name Junco hyemalis (dark-eyed junco). Its description in RNAcentral is "lncRNA (ENSJHYG00000017521.1)". Lineage: Eukaryota; Metazoa; Chordata; Aves; Passeriformes; Passerellidae. The record is from RNAcentral.
GUAAUACCUCAUUUUCCUGUGGUUGCUUCUGACAUGCUGAUACUGUAAAAGGUGGCCUUCAAGAAGAUAUUUUCAUACAAUAGUAUGGUAACUUGCACUUUGCACAACAAAACAGCUUACCCGAACAGAACAUCAUUGGUCAGAAAUUGCAUUAAAUGGGAGCAGAAGACCACAGGAGCCUGUGGCUGGAAUGGCAAAAAUGGUGAGGGAGCUCAUUCUCCUCUGUUUAUCCCCAAACAUAUGAUCUCUUUCUCUGAAACAUG